AUGUCCAGAGCGGGAGGCAAGUGGAUGGUCUCCUCCGUCACGGAUGGACACAUCAAAAGACUAAGGAAGGCCUGCUACUUGUCUAACGACGUUGCGCACCGGCUUCCUGAAGAGGGGCAGCUCAUCCCCACCCCUAGGCCCCAUGAGAGGGUGGUGUUCCUCCCCCAUUUUCUCCGCGGACUGGGCUUCCCUCUUCACCCAUUUGUCCGGGGGCUCAUGUUCUACUAUGGCCUGGAUUUCCACGAUCUGGCCCCGAACUUUGUCCUCAACAUCUCGGCGUUUAUAGUCGUGUGCGAGGCUUUCCUCUGCAUCCGCCCCCAUUUCUGCCUAUGGCUCAAGACUUUCAAUGUCAAGCUGAAGGUGGUGCGCGGCAACCAGGCGGAGUGCGGAGGCGCCAUGGUGGGCAAGAUGCCCAACGUCUUAUGGCUGGAGGGCUCCUUUGUGGAGACCCUGAAGGGGUGGCAAUCGGGGUGGUUUUACAUCACCGAGCCGCGCGACCCUGAAUGGGUCGCAGCCCCCGAGUUCCGACCCGGACCCCCUACACGGCUCACCUCCUGGAAGGAGACGGGCCCGUCAUGGGGUAAAAAAGGAGAGCUGGCCGGACUCCAAACAUGCGUCCAAACCCUGGUGGACAAGAAGCUCAAACUCGUCAACGUAGUCCAGGUUAUGCUCAUCCGCCGGAUCCUCCCGUGUCAACAACGGGCUUUCAACAUGUGGGAGUUCGACCCGGCGCGGCACCGAACUCUGAGCAGGCUCUUUGACACGAUGUACGAAGAUGCCUGGAAGGUGCUUUUCAAGGGCGCUGAGGCCCCCGCAUCCGCUACCAAGGAUCGCGGAUUCAGUACGCAGCGUCACGCUCAGUUUUUCAUAGUUUGA
RNAcentral lists this ribosomal RNA (876 nucleotides) under Triticum aestivum (bread wheat). Its description in RNAcentral is "partial small subunit ribosomal RNA". Lineage: Eukaryota; Viridiplantae; Streptophyta; Magnoliopsida; Poales; Poaceae. The record is from RNAcentral.